Molecule: ribosomal RNA, 395 nt
Filed under: uncultured bacterium
Lineage: Bacteria
Description: bacterial SSU rRNA
Rfam family: Bacterial small subunit ribosomal RNA
Source: RNAcentral
ACGAACGCUGGCGGCGUGCUUAACACAUGCAAGUCGAGCGGUAAGGCCCUUUCGGGGGUACACGAGCGGCGAACGGGUGAGUAACACGUGGGUGACCUGCCCUCAGCUCUGGGAUAAGCCUGGGAAACUGGGUCUAAUACUGGAUAUGACUCCACGGUGCAUGUCGUGGGGUGGAAAGCCUUGUGCGGCUGAGGAUGGGCCCGCGGCCUAUCAGCUUGUUGGUGGGGUGAGGCCUACCAAGGCGACGACGGGUAGCCGGCCUGAGAGGGCGACCGGCCACACUGGGACUGAGACACGGCCCAGACUCCUACGGGAGGCAGCAGUGGGGAAUCUUGCGCAAUGGGCGAAAGCCUGACGCAGCGACGCCGCGUGAGGGAUGACGGCCUCGUUGUAAC